GCCAUACAGAGCAGUGCUGCCCUGCUCGAAUUUGCCACCUCCCUGCCUGGAUUUGAGGGCUGAACAUCAGAGAGGCAAGAGAGCUGUGGUGUCGGGACGGGCUCCAGGACACCGAGCGCCUGGGCUAUAGGAACAUGGCCAGGAUGUGGGGAGAUCUCAGCCGCUCAGCAGAAUGUGGGAGAGCCGAGUGCUGAUGGGCUAGAGGUGUCCCAUGAGUCGCUGUACAGCAGGUGCAGUGUCGGCAGUCACCAUGGACCAAACCCUGCGCUCCAGACAACCCA
Long non-coding RNA from Mauremys reevesii (Reeves's turtle), 281 nucleotides. RefSeq lists it as uncharacterized. The record is from RefSeq and is a predicted model, not a curated record. The transcript is spliced from 3 exons. Lineage: Eukaryota; Metazoa; Chordata; Testudines; Geoemydidae.